Molecule: ribosomal RNA, 739 nt
Filed under: uncultured bacterium
Lineage: Bacteria
Description: bacterial SSU rRNA
Rfam family: Bacterial small subunit ribosomal RNA
Source: RNAcentral
AGGGAAUCUUCGGCAAUGGGGGGAACCCUGACCGAGCAACGCCGCGUGAGUGAAGAAGGUUUUCGGAUCGUAAAGCUCUGUUGUUAAGGAAGAACGAGUGUGAGAAUGGAAAGUUCAUGCUGUGACGGUACUUAACCAGAAAGGGACGGCUAACUACGUGCCAGCAGCCGCGGUAAUACGUAGGUCCCGAGCGUUGUCCGGAUUUAUUGGGCGUAAAGCGAGCGCAGGCGGUUAGAAAAGUCUGAAGUGAAAGGCAGUGGCUCAACCAUUGUAGGCUUUGGAAACUGUUUAACUUGAGUGCAGAAGGGGAGAGUGGAAUUCCAUGUGUAGCGGUGAAAUGCGUAGAUAUAUGGAGGAACACCGGUGGCGAAAGCGGCUCUCUGGUCUGUAACUGACGCUGAGGCUCGAAAGCGUGGGGAGCGAACAGGAUUAGAUACCCUGGUAGUCCACGCCGUAAACGAUGAGUGCUAGGUGUUAGGUCCUUUCCGGGACUUAGUGCCGCAGCUAACGCAUUAAGCACUCCGCCUGGGGAGUACGACCGCAAGGUUGAAACUCAAAGGAAUUGACGGGGGCCCGCACAAGCGGUGGAGCAUGUGGUUUAAUUCGAAGCAACGCGAAGAACCUUACCAGGUCUUGACAUCCCAGUGACUGCCCUAGAGAUAGGGUUUCCCUUCGGGGCACUGGUGACAGGUGGUGCAUGGUUGUCGUCAGCUCGUGUCGUGAGAUGUUGGGUUAAGUC